RNAcentral lists this ribosomal RNA (467 nucleotides) under uncultured bacterium. Its description in RNAcentral is "partial 16S ribosomal RNA". It matches the Rfam family "Bacterial small subunit ribosomal RNA", at positions 28 to 507 of the family's 1533-position model. The record is from RNAcentral.
GACGAACGCUGGCGGCGUGCUUAACACAUGCAAGUCGAACGGAAAGGCCUCAGCUUGCUGGGGUACUCGAGUGGCGAACGGGUGAGUAACACGUGGGUGAUCUGCCUUGCACUCUGGGAUAAGCUUGGGAAACUGGGUCUAAUACCGGAUAUGAACUGCCUUUAGUGUGGUGGUUGGAAAGUUUUUUCGGUGCAAGAUGAGCUCGCGGCCUAUCAGCUUGUUGGUGGGGUAAUGGCCUACCAAGGCGUCGACGGGCAGCCGGCCUGAGAGGGUGUACGGCCACAUUGGGACUGAGAUACGGCCCAGACUCCUACGGGAGGCAGCAGUGGGGAAUAUUGCACAAUGGGCGGAAGCCUGAUGCAGCGACGCCGCGUGGGGGAUGACGGCCUUCGGGUUGUAAACUCCUUUCGACAGGGACGAAGCUUUUUGUGACGGUACCUGUAUAAGAAGCACCGGCUAACUACGUG